UACGGAGGGAGCUAGCGUUGCUCGUAAUUACUGGGCGUAAAGCGCGCGUAGGCGGCGACACAAGUCAGAGGUGAAAGCCCGGGGCUCAACCCCGGAACUGCCUUUGAAACUAGGUUGCUAGAAUCUUGGAGAGGUCAGUGGAAUUCCGAGUGUAGAGGUGAAAUUCGUAGAUAUUCGGAAGAACACCAGUGGCGAAGGCGACUGACUGGACAAGUAUUGACGCUGAGGUGCGAAAGCGUGGGGAGCAAACAGG
Molecule: ribosomal RNA, 253 nt
Filed under: uncultured bacterium
Lineage: Bacteria
Description: partial 16S ribosomal RNA
Rfam family: Bacterial small subunit ribosomal RNA
Source: RNAcentral